ACGGCUCAGUAACACGUAGCUAACCUACCCUAAAGUCGGGAAUAACCUCGGGAAACUGAGGCUAAUGCCCGAUAGAAGAUUUGUCCUGGAAUGGUAUUUCUUCUAAAUCUUCGGAGCUUUAGGAUGGGGCUGCGGCGGAUUAGGUUGUUGGCGGGGUAAUGGCCCACCAAGCCAGAGAUCCGUAAGGGCCCUUAGCGGGGGAGCCCUGAGAGGGAAUCUGAGACACUAUUCCCAGCCCUACGGGGUGCAGCAGCCGGGGAUUUUUUGCAAUGUACGCAAGUAUGACAGAGCGAGCCAAAGUGCUUUUCUGUAUUAUGAAAAGCUUUUGCCAGUUGUAAAAAGACUGGCGAAUAAGGACCGGGCAAGACCGGUGCCAGCCGCCGCGGUAAUCCCGGCGGUCCAAGUCGCAGCCACUUUUAUUGGGUCUAAAACAUCCGUAGCUUGCUUCGUAAGUCUUUUGUGAAAUCUCAUGUCUCAAGCACGAGGCGUGCAGGAGAUACUGCGUUGCUAGAGACUGGGGGACGUAAGAAGUACUAUCAGGGUAGUGGUUAAAUACGUUAAUCCUGGUGGGACUACCAACAGCGAAGGCAUCUUACGAUUACAGUUCUGACAGUGAGGGAUGAAGGCCAGGGGCGCAAAGUGGAUUAGAUACCCAUGUAGUCCUGGCAGUAAACACUGCACACUAAACAUCGGCACCUCCUCGAGAGGUAUCGGUGCUGCACCGAAGGGGAAAAGUGUGCUACCUGGGAAGUAUAGUCGCAAGGCCGAAACUUAAAGGAAUUGGCGGGGGAG
RNAcentral lists this ribosomal RNA (792 nucleotides) under uncultured archaeon. Its description in RNAcentral is "bacterial SSU rRNA". It matches the Rfam family "Archaeal small subunit ribosomal RNA", at positions 85 to 876 of the family's 1478-position model. The record is from RNAcentral.